GGACACCUCGGGGGUUUCCUGCUUUAUGGCGAAGGUGAAAGAACAUCAGUGUAUCAGCACAGCAAAUAUUCCAAAUGCCAGGCUGGAUUCCCUCCAAUUACCAGAACCUCCAGGCUUCUCCUCCUUUCAAGAACUUUCUGACCCUGGAUCCAGUCUAAAUGUUGGUUAUAAACUCACCUGACAUCCACAGGGCCCUUCCAAAGUACUGUCAAGGCUGACUGCUGGUGCCUGGAACCUGCACACCCUCCUGGGACUCUGCAUCUCUGCUGGGGCUGGUUUCUCCUCUGAGCCACCUUAAGGAAUCCCAUCCUGACCCGGUCAGAGCUCAGCAUGCCUCCCUCUCCUACUUGCUCAGCAUUUUCUGUCUAUCUAGACUGAAGCCUUUGCUUUCUCUCUGUGAUUGUGGUGAAAGUUCAGUUUGCUUUCCUCUCUCUAGAAUGUCAGCAUGAAGGCAGAGGGAUGGUCUCCUGAGUUCCAUAACCCCAAAGCCUAACUCCCUGCCUGCCACACUGAGGGGCUCAGUAGACAUUGACUUACUAAAUUGAAUAGUUGAGUAAUAAUGCUCUU
This 567-nucleotide non-coding RNA is filed under the name Pan troglodytes (chimpanzee). Lineage: Eukaryota; Metazoa; Chordata; Mammalia; Primates; Hominidae. The record is from RNAcentral.